This is a long non-coding RNA of Bos grunniens (domestic yak), 3217 nucleotides long. The record is from Ensembl. Lineage: Eukaryota; Metazoa; Chordata; Mammalia; Artiodactyla; Bovidae.
UUGAAAACUUUUAGCUUUUAUCUGGAACUAAUCACCCUGUCCUGAGACUUUAGUGGUCUUUAUCUAUGUACCUCCUAUAACACUUAUCACCAACUUUUGAAAGUAUUUGUUCAUUUUUUUUUCAACAAAUAUUCAUUGAACAUCUAUUAUGUGCCAGGCACUAUGCUAGGAAAACAGUGGUGAGCAAAACAGAUAAAAUUCCUACCCUCGUAAUACAAAGGUGAGAUGACAAACAUUAAUCAAAUAAUCACAGAUACCAAAAAUGAAAUAUGUCAUCCAAACUGAAACCGGUCCCAGGGAGGAUAGGUACAGACUGUCAUGAAAGUUCACAUGUCUAAUCUCUCUCCUUGCAGGAAUUUGGCCGACUCAGCCUCAAUAUGUAGCCCAGAGCUGUAUGUGGGGAGGUGUUCAGAGUUUUUGUUGAAUGAACAUAUGCAUCUAUUUUUUACAUUCAAACACAAGAUCAUUUUGGAAGGGCCCGAAGAGUACAACAUGAUAAAGAGAUUCUGAAAAUUCCAGUCGUUUUUUGACAUCCCAGUUGCCACUCCAGGAUGCGCUGUCCUCCUUACAGAUCCUGAAUGAAGCAGGAGGUGGAGGACUGGACAUGGAGAACAGGUGCCACCUUAGAGCUUCUUUUGGAAUAUCUGCCCCACAAAGGUAGAUCCCAGGAGCGUGUCCAUUGAGUUCUGUUUCAGGUGUCAGCUCUGCAAAGCCCUAAAUCCUGCCAAAUACUGUUUCUUUACUUCGAAGCUAUCAGAGGAGAGGGAAACAGAUUUUGUGGCCAAUUUUAGCCCUUUGUAAUUGACUUCCAACUCAGGAGAUGGUAGAUUUUUAUUUUUGAAAGAAGAUUCUUUUUCUCAUUAAAAAAACAGUGUUUUUUUGUUUUUUUUUUUUAAUAAAACUUUUAGAGAGGAGGUUUGAGAACAUUUAGGGGAAGCCUCCUUAGGGAAGAAACUUAGUUUGUGUAUGAAUUUAGUUUGUAUGCUCUUCUUACUGUUUGUUUUCAUUGGAAACUUAACUUGGUAGGUUUUUGCAAAACAUUUAGCCAAGUUUUGCUUUGGGGCUUUGGGCUGCUAUUUUUGUGGCUUGUUUUAUUUGAAAACUUUAUUUGUUUAGAAACUGAGGCCACAGGACUUUCAACAAAAUCAAGUUUCUAAAGAGGCUCUCCAUUUUUUCCUCCCUACUUCAGGUCCAAAAAUAUGGUGGAAGAUUUCUAUAAAUAAUUUUUUUUUAACUUCUGGACUUGAGCUUGCCCAUUUUUAAUUGGAAACUGAGGCCAGGGAAUUUCAAUAUGUCUUUUAAAAUCUGAAUCUUUCUCUGCUAUCUUUAUUCUUUAUAUCAGAAGAUUUUUGUUUUCUUAGCGUAUGUCUGUACUUUGUUUUAUAUUGGUAACAGUAGCAUGGGAGCUUGAAAUACCAUCCCACAUUGGAAAACUUUAAAGGCACUUAAAAACUGUACAACCAAACUUUGGGGUGCAUAUUUUUGCUAUCUUCAUUUUGUUUGAAAGUAGAAGUUUUGAUUGCGUGUUGUGUAUUUAUACCAUAUGGUAUUUCAGUGUGAGUGGCAGUUAAAUUCAUUUCUUCUUUAUUUUACUUAACAUAUAUUUACUGAAAUCCUUCUUGGUGCUAGGUACUCCCCUGGGUAUAGCAGUGAGCAAAAAAAACAAAGCCCUUGGCCCUAUGAUUGGAUUCAGUGGGUUCUUGGUCAGAUAUUCCAUUUAGGAAUGGGGGCUUUUGAUUUGGGGUUUCCCAAAUGAUGCUGGUGGUAAAGAACUCGCCUGCCAGUGCCGGAGACAUAAGAGACUCGGGUUCAAUCCCUGGGUCAGGAAGAUCCCCUAGAGGAGAGCAUGGCAACCCACUCCAGUAUUCUUGCCUGGAGAAUCCCUUGGGCAGAGGAGCCUAGCAGACUAGGUGUCCAUUGGGUUGCCAAGAGUCAGACAUGACUGAAGUGACUUAUUAUGCACACACAGUAUUUAUGGCUGGACAGGAGACUGAGGGUUGAAGGAUGUCAGAGACAGGUUUCAGGUUGAGCUGGAGUUGGUGGUCAGUGCUGGUUGUAGAAUUGGGAAGGGUGGGCUGGAAAUGGGAGAGUACGGGGAGAAGGAUGAAAUCCAGAUUUGGGUAUUUGGAUUGAGGUCUAAUAGGGUCAGGGUUUCCUAAUGUCACCCAGCAUAUGGGAUGGUAGAAUGCAUGCCUGUUUUUACAGAUAUGUCUCCUUAGUGCUGACUGGAUGAUCUGCAAAAGAUCCCACUCUAAACGUGUAGAAUUGCCCUUUACCUACCCCAGCAUAUGCACACACAUACUAGGGAGAGAGUUACAUUCAUUAAUUCUGUCUUCAUUUCUUUUGACAAAUAUUUACUGAGCUCCUGCCUUGUGCCAGGUACUUAUCCAGGCCUUGGGGUAUGUCAGUGAACAAAACAGAUGAAAUCCUUGACCUCAAUCUAAUAAUGCUUAGAUUGAAGUGAGUGUACAUCUAAAUAAGUACUCUUUGAAAUGCAUAGCUGAGUUAGAAAUUAAGACAAAAUAAAGUCAUGCUUUGCUGGGAUGUCAGGCAGAGUCAAGUAGGGAGUUGAGUUUAAUGCUUGAGUGGGGAGUUGAGUUUAAUGCUUGAGGAAGUUAGACUCUGGGGCUACACAUGAAAGAGUUAUAACCAAGACCCUCCCCACCCGUUGAAAAGUCAUGACAUCUCAGUUGGACCAAGGAAAAUGUCACACUCUGGCACAGAGGGACCACAGGGAAGCUCUGCCUCAGUGUGGAGAAUCUGCAGGGAAAAAAUUCAGUUCUUACUCUCAAAAGGCACAGACCAGAACCUCACCUGAAUUUGUGAUCUGAAAUGCAAUAGCCAGGACAUUGGGAAGACUUAAGAAAGUCAAGUCUGGGGGGUAAAAAGUAGAGCCAUCAGGAAGAGCAUAUGUAACACUGCUUAAAACGACAUUCCUCCAGCCCACACCACAGAAGGGUCUCAGGGAGAACCAAGCUCUGAUAAAGAUGAGCUCGUUGUAAAACGUGUCAACUUAUAUAAGAGGACAGUGAAUGGCAACUUAUAUAAGAGUGAGUGAAUGGCAACAGAAACAAUAUAAUGUGAGUUUACAGUUCUGAGAACUAAGUUGAAUGGAAUGACUGUCAGAAAGAGGAUAUAAAGAAAGGCUGUUUAAAAUAAUUUAAAAUGUGAAUCAAAACUUUUAAGAAAGAAUAAGACCCUGAGUUGACAGAGCCAG